CGAUAUAGACGAUAGCUU
RNAcentral lists this unclassified non-coding RNA (18 nucleotides) under Dictyostelium discoideum. The record is from RNAcentral. Lineage: Eukaryota; Evosea; Eumycetozoa; Dictyosteliales; Dictyosteliaceae.